UGCAGUCGAGCGGUAGCACAGAGAGCUUGCUCUCGGGUGACGAGCGGCGGACGGGUGAGUAAUGUCUGGGAAACUGCCUGAUGGAGGGGGAUAACUACUGGAAACGGUAGCUAAUACCGCAUAACGUCGCAAGACCAAAGUGGGGGACCUUCGGGCCUCAUGCCAUCAGAUGUGCCCAGAUGGGAUUAGCUGGUAGGUGGGGUAACGGCUCACCUAGGCGACGAUCCCUAGCUGGUCUGAGAGGAUGACCAGCCACACUGGAACUGAGACACGGUCCAGACUCCUACGGGAGGCAGCAGUGGGGAAUAUUGCACAAUGGGCGCAAGCCUGAUGCAGCCAUGCCGCGUGUGUGAAGAAGGCCUUCGGGUUGUAAAGCACUUUCAGCGGGGAGGAAGGCGGUGAGGUUAAUAACCUCAUCGAUUGACGUUACCCGCAGAAGAAGCACCGGCUAACUCCGUGCCAGCAGCCGCGGUAAUACGGAGGGUGCAAGCGUUAAUCGGAAUUACUGGGCGUAAAGCGCACGCAGGCGGUCUGUCAAGUCGGAUGUGAAAUCCCCGGGCUCAACCUGGGAACUGCAUUCGAAACUGGCAGGCUAGAGUCUUGUAGAGGGGGGUAGAAUUCCAGGUGUAGCGGUGAAAUGCGUAGAGAUCUGGAGGAAUACCGGUGGCGAAGGCGGCCCCCUGGACAAAGACUGACGCUCAGGUGCGAAAGCGUGGGGAGCAAACAGGAUUAGAUACCCUGGUAGUCCACGCUGUAAACGAUGUCGAUUUGGAGGUUGUGCCCUUGAGGCGUGGCUUCCGGAGCUAACGCGUUAAAUCGACCGCCUGGGGAGUACGGCCGCAAGGUUAAAACUCAAAUGAAUUGACGGGGGCCCGCACAAGCGGUGGAGCAUGUGGUUUAAUUCGAUGCAACGCGAAGAACCUUACCUGGUCUUGACAUCCACAGAACUUAGCAGAGAUGCUUUGGUGCCUUCGGGAACUGUGAGACAGGUGCUGCAUGGCUGUCGUCAGCUCGUGUUGUGAAAUGUUGGGUUAAGUCCCGCAACGAGCGCAACCCUUAUCCUUUGUUGCCAGCGGUUAGGCCGGGAACUCAAAGGAGACUGCCAGUGAUAAACUGGAGGAAGGUGGGGAUGACGUCAAGUCAUCAUGGCCCUUACGACCAGGGCUACACACGUGCUACAAUGGCAUAUACAAAGAGAAGCGACCUCGCGAGAGCAAGCGGACCUCAUAAAGUAUGUCGUAGUCCGGAUUGGAGUCUGCAACUCGACUCCAUGAAGUCGGAAUCGCUAGUAAUCGUAGAUCAGAAUGCUACGGUGAAUACGUUCCCGGGCCUUGUACACACCGCCCGUCACACCAUGGGAGUGGGUUGCAAAAGAAGUAGGUAGCUUAACCUUCGGGAGGGC
This 1402-nucleotide ribosomal RNA is filed under the name Klebsiella pneumoniae subsp. rhinoscleromatis. Its description in RNAcentral is "bacterial SSU rRNA". It matches the Rfam family "Bacterial small subunit ribosomal RNA". Lineage: Bacteria; Pseudomonadati; Pseudomonadota; Gammaproteobacteria; Enterobacterales; Enterobacteriaceae. The record is from RNAcentral.